GAUGAAGAACGUAUCGAAAUGCGAUACUUGGUGUGAAUUGCAGAAUCCCGUGAACCAUCGAGUCUUUGAACGCAAGUUGCGCCCGAAGCCAUUAGGCCGAGGGCACGCCUGCCUGGGUGUCACACACCGUUACCCUCGCGCCAACGUCCAUCGUUGGCCGCGGCGCGGGGCGUGCGCUGACCUCCCGCGAGCGGGGUCUCGUGGUUGGUUGAAAAUCGAGUUCGCGGUCGAGGGUGCCGUGAUGAAAUGGUGGAUGGGCGACGCCCGAGGCCAAUCACGCGCGACUCUGUCCGGCUCGGACUCCUGGACCCCUUCGGCGUCUCCGGACGCUCUUUGGCGAGCCCUCAGGUCAGGCGGGGCUACCCGCUGAGUUUAAGCAUAUCACUACGCGGAGGA
RNAcentral lists this unclassified non-coding RNA (396 nucleotides) under soil metagenome. Its description in RNAcentral is "partial contains 5.8S ribosomal RNA, internal transcribed spacer 2, and large subunit ribosomal RNA". The stretch from base 1 to 122 matches the Rfam family "5.8S ribosomal RNA", at positions 35 to 154 of the family's 154-position model. The record is from RNAcentral.